CUCAGCCUCCCGAGUAGCUGGGACUACAGGCGCCCGCCACUGCGCCCGGCUAAUUUUUUGUAUUUUUAGUAGAGAGGGGGUUUCACCGUGGUCUCGAUCUCCUGACCUCGUGAUCCGCCCGCCUCAGCCUCCCAAAGUGCUGGGAUUACAGGCGUGAGCCACCGCGCCCGGCCAGUUCAAUGGAUUUUAAAAAUUAUUAUUCUCUAGAAAAAAGACCACGAACUUUGGAGUGGACAUCCUGAGACCUGCCUACGAAGACCAUUAGGGUAAAGAAGUCACCCCUUCACCCCAGGACCAGGAAGCCUCCAGGAUGGCAUAAGCGACCAAACAGCUGGGAGCCAAGCACAGUGCAGGGGGCUUGGGGUCGGCGGCCGGAGGCUGGGUGGCCUCCAGAAGACACUCCCCUGAUUCCUACACCGAGGGAACACACAGCAGCAAGCUAGGAAAGAAGGGGUGACCCAGCCCAACGCUGUAAACCAGGGCGCGAACCGGCGUUGAGCUGUGCAGCUGCGCCCUGGGCUCCAGUCCUGCUCUGCCGCAGACCCCACCGGAGCCAGCACCUGCCUCCCCGACCCUCGCUGGGGCGGCUGUGAGAUGAGCCCAGAGCCUUCCUGAGCCAACCCUCGCAAGGAAAGUCUGUCUGUUCACCCCACUAUCCUUGUCUUGAAGGAUGAAGAAAAGAGGGCCCCCCGGGAGGUCCCAAAAGGUGGAAUGGACAUCUGGGAUCCAAGCACAGCAAUUUCUUUAUUUUUCUUAAGGUAUCCAGCUUGUUGGAAUCUAAGAUCUGCGAAGCCUCUCACUAGAGGAUGAAAAUCGUUCUGCAUAAAGGCCUGGGCUUUAUGAAAAAUAUAUUCACACCUCCCGUGUCCGAGCUGGGAUACCAAAGAAGUUCCUGGUUGAGUACUACUUAUGAAUGAAGGAUUCAGGGGAUGCACAGAAGCCAUGCCUUCUCUCAGGAGCAGACAGCACAAGACUUUCCUGCCAGAGGCACAGUCCCCAGUGGGAGUAGCAUCCACAUAAGACAGGAUGCAGAGAUGUCUUCAAGCAGCUUCAAACAAAACUUCAAGAAAGAAAGUGCAAGUGAAAAAGGAAAUUCAUCCUUCCAGUCACUUAACACAGCACUGUCACGGACACCUUGUGCCUCCUUAAAAUUCGUAUACUGAAGUUCUAAGCCCCAGUACCCCAGAAUGUGACCUUCUUUGGAAAUAGGGUCAUUGCAGAUAUGAUUAGUUAAGAGGAGAUCAUACUGGAGUGGGCUUUAAUCCAAUAUGACUGGUGUCCUUAUGUAAAGGGGAAAUUUGGACACAGACACACACAAGGAGAACACCAUGUGAACUGAAGUCAAAGAUUUGGGUGAUGCUUCUACAAGCCAAGAAAUGCCAAAGAUGACCAGCAAAGCACCGGCAGCUGGUGGAGGAGCCUGGACCAGAUUCUUCCUCACAGCCCUCAAAAGGAACCAAUCUUGCCAAAGCUUUGACUUAGACUUCUAGCCCCCUGUGAUGGUUAAUGUUAAGUGGCAGCUUGACUGGGUUAAGGGAUGCCCAGAUAGCUGGUAAGACAGUAUGUCUGUGUGCAUCUCUCAGAGUGUUUCUGGACAAGAUCAGCAUUUGAAUCCUUAGAGUAAAGAAGAUCUGCCCUCACCCACGUGCAUCACCCUAUCUCUGGAGAGCGCGAACAAACAGGAGGAAGGGCACAUAUGCUCCUUCUGUUCCAGCUGGCACAUCCAUCUUCUCCUGCCCCCUGACUUCAGAGCUCCUGGUUCUCGGGCCUCAGGAUUCCAGCACUUACAUGAGAGCGUGCUUCCCCCUCCCUACUCCACCCCUAGGUUCUCCGCCCUUUGGCCUCUGACUGAAUUCCACCACCAGCUUUUCAGGGUCUCCAGCUUGCAGACGGCAGAUCGUGGGACUUCUUGGCCUCCAUAAUUAUGUAAGCCAAUUCCCAUAAUAAAUCUCCUAUCUAUCUAUCUAUCUAUCCAUCUAUCAAUCAUCUAUCUAGUCUAUCUAUCUAUCUAUCUCUAUCCUAUUGAUUCUGUGUCUCUGAGGAACCCUAAUACACCUCCAGAACUGUGAGAUGAUACAUUUCUGUGGUUUAAGCCACUCAGAAGGUGGUACUUUGUUUCACCAGGCCUAGCAAACUAAUACAAGUGCAUGGAAGGUGACUACUCAUGACUGCAACUUAGAGAACAAGGGUUAUAAUAAAAAUAAAAGUGUUAUACAAAGGUGGCAAGAUAAAUGACAAUAAAUGAAAAUAUUAACAUGUGAAUUAAAAAGUAAAGAUAUUUUUCCUAGCAUUCUCCCAGAAAGUAGAGACGCGUCUCUCUUGUUUGCCAUCAUAUCCAGCAAUGGCA
Homo sapiens (human) is the source of this 2347-nucleotide long non-coding RNA. Ensembl annotates it as glycosaminoglycan regulatory associated long non-coding RNA. Its record names the gene GRASLND. The record is from Ensembl. NCBI's taxonomy places the organism in Eukaryota, Metazoa, Chordata, Mammalia, Primates, Hominidae.